This 108-nucleotide unclassified non-coding RNA is filed under the name soil metagenome. RNAcentral's name for it is "partial internal transcribed spacer 1". The record is from RNAcentral.
GUGAACGCCCUCACGGGCUUAUAACUAUUCCAAACCUCUGUGAACCGUGCCCUUCGGGGCUAUUUUACAAACAUGGUGUAAUGAACGUCAUAUAUCAUAACAAAAACA